Non-coding RNA from Schistosoma mattheei, 70 nucleotides. NCBI's taxonomy places the organism in Eukaryota, Metazoa, Platyhelminthes, Trematoda, Strigeidida, Schistosomatidae. The record is from Rfam.
CCACUAACUCCGCCUGCAGCUCUUAUAGGGUUGCUGCCGGUCCCAAGCCCGGGUAAAGGAGGAGGGUUGG